GCGCGCCCCGCCCGGAUAUCCGUCCUGCGGGCUCUGUCAGCUGCCAGGCAUGGCGCUGUGCGAGGGCUUGGGCUGCGGGAGCUCUCUGCUCUGGCCUCGGGUGUUGCUCUUCGGAGACUCCAUCACCCAGUUUUCUUUCCAGCAGGGAGGAUGGGGUGCAUCCCUAGCUGACAAGCUGGUCAGAAAAUGUGAUGUUCUGAAUCGUGGAUUUUCAGGCUAUAAUACUAGAUGGGCCAAAAUUAUCCUUCCAAGAUUAAUCAGGAAAGGGAGUGUUUUGGACAGCCCCGUAGCAGUUACCAUUUUCUUUGGUGCCAAUGACAGCGCGUUAAAAGAGGAGAACCCCAAGCAGCACAUCCCGCUGGACGAGUUCGUGGCGAACCUGAGGAGCAUGGUGCAGUACCUGCGGUCCGUGGACGUCCCCGAGGGCAGGAUCGUGCUCAUCACGCCGCCCCCGCUCUGCGAGGCCGCCUGGGAGAAGGAGUGCCUGGCGCAAGGCUGCAAGUUAAACCGCCUGAACGCGGUGGUCGGCGAGUACGCCAGCGCCUGCUUACAGGUGGCCCGAGACUGUGGGACCGACGUGCUCGACCUGUGGGCCCUGAUGCAGAAGGACGGUCAGAAGCCAGUGGCCACACGCCAUCAGACAGAACAGCUCUUCACAGCCCAGUGUGUCCCGGCGGCCGGCCCGGCUGGUAAACACAGGUCCUUCCCACGGAGCAGCAUUCAGCUCUGCACCACAGCUCUUGUCUGAGCAGCCGCACGCUGCUCGCUGCCUAGACGGACAGCUUUACGUGGCAACAGCGCCUGAGCUCUCCCUAGCGCGACAGCCUCAGCCGCCCCCGUCUCCCCUGCCCAGCACCCUGCUGGUCCCCGGCCUCAGAACGGCCCCAGCCUCUCAGCUCCCUCGCAGCAGCCUCACAUCCUCGUCUCGCCGGCACGCUCGCUGGUCAGUAACAGUGUUACACUUCUGAGACGAAGAAGGCCUCGUGCCAACACUAACACCAUGCUUCGGGCUACAGAGGGCACAGUGCACCGUGUCCUGGCACCUGCUUACGGUGCCUUAGCCUUCGCUCAGGGUGACCGUGGCCGGUCCGGCACACUAACGAGGCCGUCCACACUCUGAGUGGCCUUGGCUGUCCGGUGACUGUCCGGUGGCCACAGCAGGACUUCGCACCCUACUUGUCCGAUGGCCUCCACUUGUCCCCAAGGGGAAACGCGUUCCUCUUCUCCCACCUCUGGCCUCUGAUCG
Molecule: RNA transcript, 1246 nt
Organism: Eptesicus fuscus (big brown bat)
Lineage: Eukaryota; Metazoa; Chordata; Mammalia; Chiroptera; Vespertilionidae
Gene: IAH1
Gene name: isoamyl acetate hydrolyzing esterase 1 (putative)
Exons: 7
Source: RefSeq, a predicted model, not a curated record